This is a long non-coding RNA of Oncorhynchus nerka (sockeye salmon), 9501 nucleotides long. RefSeq lists it as uncharacterized. The record is from RefSeq and is a predicted model, not a curated record. NCBI's taxonomy places the organism in Eukaryota, Metazoa, Chordata, Actinopteri, Salmoniformes, Salmonidae. The transcript is spliced from 5 exons.
CGAAAGAACUCUCAUUCUAGGGUGAUUUUGGUGACAUUAUCCCACUUACUUUGUGACAAACGCUCCUAAUCUUGAAGAGAUUUGCCACAACUAAUUGCAUGUCUUUGAAGAGUUGAGAGAGUACUCCUUAUUUUCUUUACCCAACCAGUACAUCCACUCAAUAAAAUGGAGAUGCUUCUUUAAACUUUUUUGUUGUCUGAUUGCCCCUAAGCCUCCAGACAUGUCCCUUUUAUUGUCUGCCACGCUCUUUUUUUAAUGUGUUGUGUUGUGGUGUGUGUGUGUGUGUGUGUGUGUGUGUGUGUGUGUGUGUGACGUCCUUUGUGAGGAUCCCCAAAGUUGUUUGUGGUUGACUGUCUGGUGAUUGUAACCUAGCCUAUUCAGAGACCUGACAUACGCUCCCUAGCAGUCACUCAGAAUGGUGGAACCUCUUCGGAACCUCUUCUCACAUGUCGUCUGAUGAUAGGGAUAAACGUUUUUCCACCAUUUUGAAUAACUGGGCGCCGUCAGUUAUGUUUGACCUCCAUCAUCCCAAACACCCAUCCCUGUCUUCUCCACAUUGUCCCCAUCCUUCCACGAUUGUACUGAAAGAUAGGAACAAGUGCGUAUCGUUAUUUUGUGAAAUGGAGUUGGCCAGUGGUUAGUCAUGCUUUUAAAUGGCGGGGGAUCAGUUAAUCCAUGGGAACUAGCAUAAUAUCACUUAUGACACAAACUAAGGUCUGAUGGGUGAAAUUGUAUAAUGUUGAAAGAACCGAAACAUGAUCCUAUGAAACAAACACAUCUCAGUGAUGUUAUCAAAUAAUUCUGUACACAAAAUAGGUAAGCUCAAUUUUUUUUUCAUAUCAAAUGUUAUUGUUCACAUAUACAUAUUUAGCAGGUGUUAUUGCGGGUGUAGCGAAAUACUUGUGUUCCUAGCUCCAAAAGUGCAGUAGUAUUUAACAAUUCACACCAAUCUAAAAGUAAAAUAAUGGAAUUAAGAAAUAUAUCAAUAUUAGGAUGAGCAAUGUCUGUGUGGCAUUGACUAAAUACAGUAUAUAAAAUGAGUUAAUCAGUAUGUAAACAUUAUUAAAGUGACCAGUGAUUCCAUGUCUAUGUACAUAGGGCAGAAGCCUCUAAGGUGCUGGGUUGAGCAAAUGGGUGGUAGCUGGCUAGUGAUGGCUAUGUAACAGUUUGAUGGCCUUGAGAUAUAAGCUGUUUUUCAGACUCUCGGGCCCAGUUUUGAUGCACCUGUACUGACCUCGCCUUUUGGAUGAUAGCGGGGUGAAUAGGCCGUGGCUUGGGUGGUUGUUGCCCUUGAUCAUCUUUUUUGCCUUCCUGUGACAUCAGGGGCUAAAGGUGUCCUGGAGGGCAGGUAGUUUGCCCCCGAUGAUGUGUUGGGCAGACCGCACCACCCUCUGGAAAGCCCUGCGGUUGCGGGCAGUGCAGUUGCUGUACCAGGUGGUGAUACAGCCCGACAGAUUGCUCUCAAUUGUACAUCUGUAAAAGUUUGAGGGUCUUAGGGGCCAAGCUGAAUUUCUUCAGCCUCCUGAGGGUGAAGAGGCACUGUUGCACCAACUUCACCACACUGUCUGUGUGGGUGGACCAUUUCAGAUUGUCAGUGACGUGUACGCUGAGGAACUUGAAGCUUUCACCUUCUCCACUGAGGUCCCGACGAUGUGAAUAGGGGCUCUCUCUGUUGUGUCCUGAAGUCCAUGAUUAUUAUGACUAUUACAGGGACCGAGUCACUGACUUACUGGGGCUCUCUCAUACCAUCCCUGGGAGGGGUGCGUCACCUGAGUGGGUUGAGUCACUGAUGUGAUCAUCCUGUCUGGGUUGGCGCCCCCCUUGGGUUGUGCUGUGGCGGAGAUCUUUGUAGGCUAUGCUCAGCCUUGUUUCAGGAUGGUAAGUUUGUGGUUGAAGAUAUCCCUCUAGUGGUGUGGGGGCUGUGCUUUGGCAAAGUGGGUGGGGUUAUAUCCUUCCUGUUUGGCCCUGUCCGGGGGUGUCCUCGGAUGGGGCCACAGUGUCUCCUGACUCCUCCUGUCUCAGCCUCCAGUAUUUAUGCUGCAGUAGUUUGUGUGUCGGGGGGCUAGGGUCAGUUUGUUAUAUCUGGAGUACUUCUCCUGUUCUAUUCGGUGUCCUGUGUGAAUUUAAGUGUGCUCUCUCUAAUUCUCUCUUUCUCUCUCUCGGGGGACCUGAGCCCUAGGACCAUGCCUCAGGACUAUCUGACAUGAUGACUCCUUGCUGUCCCCAGUCCACCUGGCUGUGAUGCUGCUCCAGUUUCAACUGUUCUGCCUUAUGACCAUGCUGGUCAUUUAUGAACAUUUGAACAUCUUGGCCAUGUUCUGUUAUAAUCUCCACCCGGCACAGCCAGAAGAGGACUGGCCACCCCACAUAGCCUGGUUCCUCUCUAGGUUUCUUCCUAGGUUUUGGCCUUUGUAGGGAGUUUUUCCUAGCCACCGUGCUUCUACACCUGCAUUGCUUGCUGUUUGGGGUUUUAGGCUGGGUUUCUGUACAGCACUUUGAGAUAUCAGCUGAUGUACGAAGGUCUAUAUAAAUAAAUUUGAUUUGUAGGUUGAACAAUGUAACAGGAAUAUCUAGACUUAGGGAUGCCACCCAUUAGAUAAAAUACCAAAUGGUUCCGUAUUUCACUGAAAAAAUAAAUCGUUUUAUUUUCUAAAUGAUAGUUUCCGGAUUUGACCAUAUUAAUGACCAAAGGCUCGUAUAUCUGCUUGUUGUUAUAAUUAAGUCUGAUUUGAUAUUUGAUAGAGCAGUCUGACUGAGCGGUGGUAGUUAGCAGCAGGUUCGUAAGCAUUCAUUCAAACAGCACUUUCGUGCAUUUUGCCAGCAGCUCUUCCCUGUGCAUCAAGCAUUGAGCUGUUUAUGAUUUCAAGCCUAUCAACUCCUGAGAUAAGGCUGGUGUAACUGAUGUGAAAUGGUUAGCGGGGUGCGCGCUAAUAGCGUUUCAAACGUCACUCGCUCUGAGACUUGGAGUAGUUGUUCCCCUUGCUCUGCAUGGGUAAUGCUGCUUCGAGGGUGGCUGUUGUCUGUGUUCCUGGUUUGAGCCCAGGUAGGGGCGAGGAGAGGGACGGAAGCUAUACUGUUACACUGGUAAUACUAAAGUGCCUUUAAGAACAUACAAUAGUCAAAGGUAUAUGAAAUACAAAUGGUAUAGAGAGAAAUCGUCCUAUAAAUACUAUAUUAACUACAAUCUAAAACCUCUUACCUUGGAAUAUUGAAUUCUUAUGUUAAAAGGAACCACCAACUUUCAUAUGUUCUCAUGUUCUGAGCAAGGAACUUAAACGUUAGCUUUUUUACAUGGCACAUAUUGCACUUUUACUUUCUUCUCCAACACUGUCACGCCCUGGUCUAAGUAUUUUGUGUUUUCUUCAUGUAUUGGUUCAGGCCAGGGUGUGGCAUAGAGUUUUUGUAUUGUGGUGUGUUUUGUCUUGGGAUUUUGGUAUGUGUGUAUAGUGGGAUUGUAGCUUAGUGGGGUGUUCUAGGAGAGUCUAUGGCUGUCUGAAGUGGUUCUCAAUCAGAGGCAGGUGUUUACCGUUGUCUCUGAUUGGGAACCAUAUUUAGGCAGCCAUAUUCUUUGGUUGUAUUGUGGGUGAUUGUCCUGUGUGUCUUGAUGUCCUGGUUAGAGGUGGUUUGUUAUCCAUGGUGCUGUGGAUGCUUACAGCAGGCUUGUGUUUCUAAAGGCCCCUGGCAACAGGAGUGCCACAGUCAUGGAGUCAUUUGAAGCAGCCAUCACCAGCUAUGGAGUACUAUCCCGGGUGAGAUGUCAUCGGGGUGGCGCAAACAACCACAUCUGUGCCUUCAUGGAGCAGUUCAGGGAUGGUGAGAGGGGAAGUGCCCUCAGGAAGGAGCACUCGCAACCAGAGGAUAGAGCUGCUGUGGGGGGACGUCUGGCAUGGAGUCUCCAACGUUUACAAUUCUUGGAGUUCACCUUCUUGGAGACGGAGCAGAUCAUCAACAUAAACAAUGAGGUGCACCUGUGGGCACUGCACUUUGUAUUCCUGUCACAGGCGUAAAGAGAUCUGCUGUGCCAGUCAGUAGAACCACCAUGGGUUGAGGACUGAACAAUGGCCGUCAGCUCUGCAGUUGUUCGUAUCGGGUUCCCUGGCAAUUUUGAGCGCCUAUCUGACCCUUGGACUGGAUUUUGUUCGCCCCAUCUUCAACCACAUCACCUCAGCUCCUCCAACCAGCACCCUCAGCUCCUCUAACCAGCAUCACCUCAGCUCCUCUAGCCAGCAUCACUUCAGCUCCUCCAACCAGCACCACCACCUCAGCUCCUCCAACCACUAGCGCCUCAGCUCUUUACUGGUCGGAUGGGGUGAUUGUGCCACAAAUCCAGUUCACCAUCAGCAACACACAGAUGGAACUGUUGCAGACAAUGAAUCCAUUGGAAGUCCCCAGAGGCAGCCUGGGAGUUUAAAUUCUACAGAGGGCUAUGGCAAUUAUAUCUUCAGCGCCACUCGUUCCUUUUGAAUCAGUUAAAUUUUAUAAUACUAACUAAACUGUUUGAGGUAACAUUCCCCCUCUAGGGAUCCUGCGUGCCGCAGGGGUCUAAGGCACUGCAUCGCACCGAUCCUGGGCUGUUUCACAACCAGUCGUGCUCGGGAGUCCCAAAGGGCGGGGUCACAAUUGGCCCAGCAUCGUACGGGUUAGUGGAGGGUUUGGCUGGGGUAGACAGUCAUUGUAAAUAAGAAUUUGUUCUUAACUGACUUGCCUAGUUAAAUAAACAUUAUGAUUUGGUCUCUAUAAAGGUACUACAGACGUAUCUUAACAAAGAGUGUCAAGGUGUAUGGCCCCUCGGUGGGUUCAGAGAAAUAUCUUUGUGUUGAGGUUACUUGACAACUUGUGCUGAACUGGAGUGGACCUUGACCAGAGUCGAAGCAAUAAGAGACCUGCCCAAAAGCUAAGUACUUCUCCAUUCAACAUAUUCCCCUCCUAUCCAUUUACCUUUGAUUUUGAAUGACCUUAUCACACAUUUCCCUGUUGAGUUGUGGAUUUAUCUACUAUUAUUCAUAGUUUUCUUUGCCAUUACUGUAUUCUUGUGUUUGGAAACCCCUUACACCCUCCUUGACACUGUAUGAUUGGGUCUCUAGAAAUGUAUGACAGAUCUUCAACUCUAAACGGAUGGGGCCCAGAGUUUAGACACAGUACAACACAACCCAGGAGAGGCCUACUGCAAGCACUGGAUUCGAGCCUUCAGUGUGCCUGCCGUCGGAGGUCAACCGAACAUUCUGAAUGGACAUUAUUAAAACAGAACUUUACCUUUUUUUAAUGCCCAAUUGGGACUUUUAUAAAUUGUUAAAACAAAUAAUCAUGUAACUUCCUAUAGUUAAAAAACAUUAUGUAGAUAGGGGUUCUGUCCCUGUUACACUUUAUAUCAUGGUGAUUAACAGCAACCUACUAUAUUACAGUUAGUAACAUAACAUUGUUGACACAUUGUGGUUGAAGAUGGACUAGUGCCGGGCUCUCAACCCUGUUCAGGGAGAGCUACCAUCUUGUAGGUUCCCAAAAGGGGAGCUGUCACUUAAUGCAAUGGAUGGGAAGCCUUCUUAUUGCAUGUAGUUCUAAUUAAAUUAUAAUGGCUGAAAUUAAUUUAUUCUUAAAUGUAGGACAUCAAAUUAUCAGAUUUGGAUGAAUUGGCUGUCAUAUGGCAGCAGUACUUCAGUCAAUAUCAGCAAAGGAUUUUGGUUGAGUGUAGUGUUACUAAAAAAACAACCAUAAAACACCAAGACAAACUAUGGACUGUAUCAUUUAAUAUUAAUGAUCAUUAAGUGAACAAUAACAGCCAAUAUGGAAAUACAGUGCAUUUGGAAAGUAUUCUGAAUACUUUCCGAAUGCUCUGUACUAACAAUACAGAGAUGUAAGUAGAUAAAUGUUGAUGUGCAGUUACAUUUUCAAACACUCAAUUGCUACUGUAGUUUAGUGCUACUAGAUACAAUUCUGUGUUGUAGAAAUGUUGUAAUGCAACACAAAAAUGUGGGGAAUUCACAAUCCCUGGAGGUCAUGAAGUCAUUGUAGGUGCUAUGAAGAGGGAGCCUUAGUUUCACAGCACACAUGUUUGCCUCUGGGUACUUUUUCUUCUACUGCCCAGAGAGACAUCUUCGCACUGUGUGGAGGAAUUUGAUGGUUGGGGUGUCCUCAAAUCCCAGGGGUGGCACCACUGUUGCUCCAGUAGCAAACUCCAACACCAUUUCCACUGUGAGAGGAGGACAUUUUAAAAUGCACAUUUAAAUCACAAAAUGGAAUAAUAUGCAGUUAGCGAUUUAAACUUGAACAUUUUAACUACUAUCUUACAUUGUACCUCUGGCAGCCAGUUGAACCAGUGGUAGAUGGUGUCGUUCCCAAAACACUACUGGUUCCCGCCAUGUAUGGAAUGGGUUACUUUAAACAGGUCCCUGGCAGUGGAAGGCUUUGUGGAAUGUCAUGACGUUGCCCUCUUUGGGUACAGAAAGCCCCACCCCUCUCUCCUACACCCAGGCUGCUGUGGUCAGAGAGAGGUCGUAAAUUACAGGAGAUUAUCUCCUCAUGGCCACAGUAUAGAGAGAGUGAAUUUUCAUAGAGAACAAAGGAAUUUCUUCCACCUCACAGAACUUGAGGUCCGAACAACAUUUAUGUUCUGGAGAAGGUAUAAAAGAUCGGUGAAGAAUCUAGCUACGAACUGGUCCGUUUGGUACAAUUUUGUGAAACUCAUGGGAGACGAUACGGCCACAUUACCAUAACUCUGUUUAUAUAAUGGCCUCAGAUAUGAAGUUUCCAUCUAAUUGUUGUAUAAUAUAAUGAAUGAGUGACGAUGAAACUGUUUUGUAAAAUUGUGUAAUGUGAUUUUGGACUGUUUAAUGAAGGAAACUCCAAUUCCCUUUUUGAGGUGAACUAAAUUAGAGGACCGCCCAUGAGCCCAGUUCGGACCUGGCGUCAUGAGACAGCCUUUUUCUGCUCUCCCGAAUAAAACCCUCACUCAGAGAAUUUCUCAACAGACCAUGUUGCUCUCAAUUACGAGAGGACAAAGGAUGCAGACCAGCUUACCUUGAUAACGAGAGGGCCAAGUUGAGACCAGACUGCUGAAUCUUUUAACCAUCCCACGUGGUUAAACUCUUAGACAAUCGAUACCGACAGAAUAAGAACAAGUCGUUGAUAUUAAUUACUAGUCUGCAGCUAGGAAUUCGGUAUCAUUGAACUCAAAGACCUGAUAACUGCUGAAAUAUCUAUCCAUAAUGACAUGAAUGAAUGUCACUGAACUAUCCAUUCUAACCACGACAGAGAGGGCGGACAAACUUUUCAACAGAGACCCCGACGACACACUGAGCAUAAAUAUAUAUAUAUAUAUAUAUAUAUAUAUUGAUUGAUUGAUUGCAAUUGUUCCCCAAAUGAGUGUGAGUUCAUUUGCAAAGGAUUAGCAUUUAAAUAGUUAUAAUUAUCAACUGUGUGUUGUCUUAUCUCAGUCGAACCCCACUUCCCUUUUGUACACCAAGUCGCGAUGCCGGUUUAUCCCACUAGGGAAACUCCAUUAUCAUUUCCUUGUAACUACUGUUUGUUUAUGCAUUUCUGUGAAUUACUUAGUUAAAUCAUUUAUUUACUAAGACAAUUGAUGUAUGGAUGACUGAUAGUGAAGACUGGGUUCGUGCAGAUAGCCAACAAUUUACGAUGUUUGGAAUGAGACUAACGUGAGGUAAAAUAAGAAUAAGUCAUUAAUCAGAAGACUAAUUGAUCAGAAAUAAAAUAUCUGAAAAGUUAUAUUAGGAAUAUUAUAACUUUGUAAUCUUAAUAUUUUCCUUGGUGCCCCGACUUCCUAGUUAAUUACAGUUACAUGAUUAAUCAGUUUAAUUGCGUAAUAAUAAUUACAGAUUAUUGGCAUCAUUAUACUAAAAAUUAAAGACACGGCGGGAGUCCACAAAAAACUGCUCGGAGGCUGUCUGGGUUGUUCCCCAAUGCCUCGAGCAGCCCAAGAGAGUUGAGGCCAUAUUUGAACCUGUUAUGGUUUAGGGACUGUAUGUAUAUUUCGUUAUAGACGUUUCAUCUCCUGUGGCAAAAAUAAGUAUUGAACUAAUCUGUUUUGUGAAUGAAAAUGUUCCCUGUUGGAAUACCGACGAUGUGUGAUUAACAUAUUUACUAAACUAUUAUAUACAUUCUCCUGUUCUGCAGCUAGAGAGAUUGUAGGCAUCGUCUUGGAGAUGCCGUAUCUCCUGUCUUUCCUCUAGAGACUGAAAUCAAUACAGAUUUGUUUGAUGAGAUGGAGAUAUCGGGGACGUAGGUCGGGGUGCCUUGUAAGGAUCCAACGGCGAAGUCGUGGCUGAACGACGACAUGGAUAACAUACAGCUGGCUGGGUUUUCCGUCCAUCGGCAAGAGAACAGCUGCCUCUGGCAAGACGAGGAGUGGUGGUCUGUGUCAGCUGGUGCACAAAAUCUAAUAUUAAGGGAGGUUCGAGUAUCUCAUAAGAUGUAGACCACACUAUUUACCAAGAGUUUAUCUAUAUUUUUCAUGGCUGUCUAUUUACCACCACAAACCGAUGCUGCCACUGAGACGGCACUCAACAAGCUGUAUAAGGCCAUAAGCAAACAAAAAAAUGCUUAUCCAGAGGCGACGCUCCGAGUGGCCGGGGACUUUAAUCCAGGGAAACUCAAAUCAGUUUUACCUAAUUUCUACCAACAUGUUAAAUGUGCAACCAGAGGGGGAAAAAAAACUCUAGACCACCUUUACUCCACAGGAUGUCUUCCUUAAUUGAUAUUCUCCUAGGCAGAUUUGGAAAGUAAAAGCCAUAUCUCAGACUGGCCAAUAAAAAGAAAAGAUUAAGAUGGGCAAAAGAACACAGACACUGGAUAGAGGAACUCUUCACUGUUGACAUUGAAACUGGUGUUUUGCGGGUACUAUUUAAUGAAGCUGCCAGUUGAGGACUUGAGAGGCAUCUGUUUCUCAAACUAGACACUCGAAUGUACUUGUCCUCUUGCUCAGUUGUGCACCGGGGCCUCCCACUCCCCUUUCUGUUCUGUGAAGGAAGUACUACACAGCGUUGUACGAGAUCUAGUUUCUUGGCAAUUUCUUGCAUGGAUAGCCAUCAUUUCUCAGAACGAGAAUAGACUGACGAGUUUCAUUAGUUAUUUGUUUCUGGCCAUUUGGAGCCUGUAAUCUAACCCACAAAUACUGAUGCUCCAGAUACUCAACUAGUCUAAAGAAGGCCAGUUUUAUUGCUGCUUUAAAUCAGCACAACAGUUUUCAGCUGUGCUAACCAAAUUGCAAAAGGGUUUUCUAAUGAUCAAUUAGCUUUUUAAAAAUGAUGAACUUGGAUUAUCUAACAACGUGCCAUUGGAACACAGGAGUGAUGGUUGCUGAUAAUGGGCCUCUGUACAUCUAUGUAGGUAUUCCAUAAAAAAUCUGCCGUUUCCAGCUACAAUAAUAAUUUAAAACAUUAACAAUGUCAUCUGUAUUUCUGAUCAAUUUAAUGUUAUUCAAUGGACAAAAAUUGUUUUUCUUUCAAAAACAAGGACAUUUCAAAGUGACCCCAAACACUUUGAGCG